This 348-nucleotide unclassified non-coding RNA is filed under the name soil metagenome. RNAcentral describes it as "partial contains 5.8S ribosomal RNA, internal transcribed spacer 2, and large subunit ribosomal RNA". The stretch from base 1 to 120 matches the Rfam family "5.8S ribosomal RNA", at positions 35 to 154 of the family's 154-position model. The record is from RNAcentral.
GAUGAAGAACGUAGCAAAAUGCGAUAAGUAAUGUGAAUUGCAGAAUUCAGUGAAUCAUCGAAUCUUUGAACGCACAUUGCGCCCGCUGGUAUUCCGGCGGGCAUGCCUGUUCGAGCGUCAUUUCAACCCUCAAGCCCCCGGGUUUGGUGUUGGGGAUCGGCUCUGCCCUUCUGGGCGGUGCCGCCCCCGAAAUACAUUGGCGGUCUCGCUGCAGCCUCCAUUGCGUAGUAGCUAACACCUCGCAACUGGAACGCGGCGCGGCCAUGCCGUAAAACCCCAACUUCUGAAUGUUGACCUCGGAUCAGGUAGGAAUACCCGCUGAACUUAAGCAUAUCAAUAAGCGAAGGA